UACGAAGGGUGCAAGCGUUACUCGGAAUUACUGGGCGUAAAGCGUGCGUAGGUGGUUCGUUAAGUCUGUCGUGAAAGCCCGGGGCUCACCCCCGGAAGUGCAUUGGAAACUGGCGGACUCGAGUCCCGGAGAGGAGAGUGGAAUUCCUGGUGUAGCGGUGAAAUGCGUAGAUAUCAGGAGGAACACCGGUGGCGAAGGCGGCUCUCUGGACGGUGACUGACGCUGAGACGCGAAAGCGUGGGGAGCAAACAGG
RNAcentral lists this ribosomal RNA (253 nucleotides) under uncultured bacterium. Its description in RNAcentral is "partial 16S ribosomal RNA". It matches the Rfam family "Bacterial small subunit ribosomal RNA", at positions 524 to 776 of the family's 1533-position model. The record is from RNAcentral.